This 449-nucleotide ribosomal RNA is filed under the name uncultured bacterium. RNAcentral describes it as "partial 16S ribosomal RNA". It matches the Rfam family "Bacterial small subunit ribosomal RNA", at positions 29 to 523 of the family's 1533-position model. The record is from RNAcentral.
AACGGACGCUGGCGGCAGGCUUAACACAUGCAAGUCGAACGCUGUAGCAAUACAGAGUGGCGCACGGGUGAGUAACGCGUGUGAACGUGCCCUUUAGUACGGGAUAACAUCGGGAAACUGAUGCUAAUACCGUAUAUUCCCUGAGGGGGAAAGAUUUAUCGCUAAAGGAUCGGCCCGCGUUAGAUUAGGUAGUUGGUGGGGUAAUGGCCUACCAAGCCUACGAUCUAUAGCCGGUCUGAGAGGACGAUCGGCCACACUGGAACUGAGACACGGUCCAGCCUCCUACGGGAGGCAGCAGUGGGGAAUAUUGGUCAAUGGGGGAAACCCUGAACCAGCCAUGCCGCGUGAGUGAUGAAGGCCUUAGGGUUGUAAAGCUCUUUCACCAGUGAAGAUAAUGACGGUAACCGGAGAAGAAGCCCCGGCUAACUUCGUGCCAGCCGCCGCAGUAA